UACGGAGGGUGCAAGCGUUAUCCGGAUUCACUGGGUUUAAAGGGUGCGUAGGCGGUCGGGUAAGUCUGAUGUGAAAUCUCACAGCUUAACUGUGAAACUGCAUUGGAUACUAUCCGGCUAGAGGAAUGGAGGGGAGACUGGGAUACUUGGUGUAGCAGUGAAAUGCGUAGAUAUCAAGUGGAACACCAGUGGCGAAGGCGAGUCUCUGGACAUUUCCUGACGCUGAGGCACGAAAGCCAGGGGAGCAAACGGG
This 253-nucleotide ribosomal RNA is filed under the name uncultured bacterium. RNAcentral's name for it is "partial 16S ribosomal RNA". It matches the Rfam family "Bacterial small subunit ribosomal RNA", at positions 524 to 776 of the family's 1533-position model. The record is from RNAcentral.